ACUACGGGAGGCAGCAGUGAGGAAUAUUGGUCAAUGGGCGCGAGCCUGAACCAGCCAAGUAGCGUGAAGGAUGACUGCCCUACGGGUUGUAAACUUCUUUUAUAAAGGAAUAAAGUGAGGCACGUGUGCCUUUUUGUAUGUACUUUAUGAAUAAGGAUCGGCUAACUCCGUGCCAGCAGCCGCGGUAAUACGGAGGAUCCGAGCGUUAUCCGGAUUUAUUGGGGUUAAAGGACGCGUUGAUGGGUUGUUAAGUCAGUUUUGAAAGUUUGCGGCUCAACCGUAAAAUUGCAAUUGAUACUGGCAGUCUUGAGUACAGUUGAGGUAGGCGGAAUUUGUGGUGUAGCGGUGAAAUGCUGAGAUAUCACGAAGAACUCCGAUUGCGAAGGCAGCUUACUAAACUGCCACUGACAUUGAUGCUCGAAAGUGUGGGUAUCAAACAGGAUUAGAGACCCCUGUAGUC
Molecule: ribosomal RNA, 460 nt
Filed under: uncultured bacterium
Lineage: Bacteria
Description: partial 16S ribosomal RNA
Rfam family: Bacterial small subunit ribosomal RNA
Source: RNAcentral